GUGGGGAAUUUUGGACAAUGGGCGCAAGCCUGAUCCAGCAAUGCCGCGUGCAGGAAGAAGGCCUUCGGGUUGUAAACUGCUUUUGUACGGAACGAAACGGUUCUCUCUAAUACAGGGGGCUAAUGACGGUACCGUAAGAAUAAGCACCGGCUAACUACGUGCCAGCAGCCGCGGUAAUACGUAGGGUGCAAGCGUUAAUCGGAAUUACUGGGCGUAAAGCGUGCGCAGGCGGUUUUGUAAGACAGAGGUGAAAUCCCCGGGCUCAACCUGGGAACUGCCUUUGUGACUGCAAGGCUGGAGUGCGGCAGAGGGGGAUGGAAUUCCGCGUGUAGCAGUGAAAUGCGUAGAUAUGCGGAGGAACACCGAUGGCGAAGGCAAUCCCCUGGGCCUGCACUGACGCUCAUGCACGAAAGCGUGGGGAGCAAACAGGAUUAGAUACCCCAGUAGUCC
RNAcentral lists this ribosomal RNA (450 nucleotides) under uncultured bacterium. RNAcentral's name for it is "partial 16S ribosomal RNA". It matches the Rfam family "Bacterial small subunit ribosomal RNA", at positions 354 to 796 of the family's 1533-position model. The record is from RNAcentral.